CAGCAGCCGCGGGAAUACAAAGGGUGCAAGCGUUACUCGGAAUUACUGGGCGUAAAGCGUGCGUAGGUGGUGGUUUAAGUCCGUUGUGAAAGCCCUGGGCUCAACCUGGGAAUUGCAGUGGAUACUGGGUCACUAGAGUGUGGUAGAGGAUAGUGGAAUUUCCGGUGUAGCAGUGAAAUGCGUAGAGAUCGGAAGGAACAUCUGUGGCGAAGGCGACUAUCUGGGCCAACACUGACACUGAGGCACGAAAGCGUGGGGAGCAAACAGGAUUAGAUACCCCUGUAGUCCCUGUCUCUUAUAC
Molecule: ribosomal RNA, 301 nt
Filed under: uncultured bacterium
Lineage: Bacteria
Description: partial 16S ribosomal RNA
Rfam family: Bacterial small subunit ribosomal RNA
Source: RNAcentral